Molecule: small nuclear RNA, 123 nt
Filed under: Bos grunniens (domestic yak)
Lineage: Eukaryota; Metazoa; Chordata; Mammalia; Artiodactyla; Bovidae
Description: U2 spliceosomal RNA (ENSBGRG00000001313.1)
Rfam family: U2 spliceosomal RNA
About the family: U2 is a small nuclear RNA (snRNA) component of the spliceosome (involved in pre-mRNA splicing). Complementary binding between U2 snRNA (in an area lying towards the 5' end but 3' to hairpin I) and the branchpoint sequence (BPS) of the intron results the bulging out of an unpaired adenosine, on the BPS, which initiates a nucleophilic attack at the intronic 5' splice site, thus starting the first of two transesterification reactions that mediate splicing.
Source: RNAcentral
AUCGCUUCUCGGCCUUUUGGCUAAGAUCAAGUGUAGUAUCAAGCAAGACUCAGUAAUUGAAUGGUUUGUUUGUGUAGGCUAAAGAUUGUCUCUUGUAGUAAGGAAAGGUAAUUCAUAAUCACC